Molecule: ribosomal RNA, 253 nt
Filed under: uncultured bacterium
Lineage: Bacteria
Description: partial 16S ribosomal RNA
Rfam family: Bacterial small subunit ribosomal RNA
Source: RNAcentral
UACGUAGGGUGCAAGCGUUGUCCGGAAUUAUUGGGCGUAAAGAGCUCGUAGGCGGUUUGUUGCGUCGGCUGUGAAAUCCCGAGGCUCAACCUCGGGUCUGCAGUCGAUACGAGCAAACUAGAGUGUUGCAGGGGAGACUGGAAUUCCUGGUGUAGCGGUGAAAUGCGCAGAUAUCUGGAGGAACACCGGUGGCGAAGGCGGCAUCCUGGACCGGUAUUGACGCUGAGGCGCGAAAGCUAGGGGAGCAAACGGG